GACGAACGCUGGCGGCGUGCUUAACACAUGCAAGUCGAACGGAAAGGCCCUGCUUUUGUGGGGUGCUCGAGUGGCGAACGGGUGAGUAACACGUGAGUAACCUGCCCUUGACUUUGGGAUAACUUCAGGAAACUGGGGCUAAUACCGGAUAGGAGCUCCUGCUGCAUGGUGGGGGUUGGAACGUUUCGGCGGUUGGGGAUGGACUCGCGGCUUAUCAGCUUGUUGGUGGGGUAGUGGCUUACCAAGGCUUUGACGGGUAGCCGGCCUGAGAGGGUGACCGGCCACAUUGGGACUGAGAUACGGCCCAGACUCCUACGGGAGGCAGCAGUGGGGAAUAUUGCACAAUGGGCGGAAGCCUGAUGCAGCAACGCCGCAUGCGGGAUGACGGCCUUCGGGUUGUAAACCGCUUUCGCCUGUGACGAAGCGUGAGUGACGGUAAUGGGUAAAGAAGCACCGGCUAACUACGUG
Molecule: ribosomal RNA, 468 nt
Filed under: uncultured bacterium
Lineage: Bacteria
Description: partial 16S ribosomal RNA
Rfam family: Bacterial small subunit ribosomal RNA
Source: RNAcentral